RNAcentral lists this long non-coding RNA (1148 nucleotides) under Homo sapiens (human). RNAcentral's name for it is "long intergenic non-protein coding RNA 1013". The record is from RNAcentral. Lineage: Eukaryota; Metazoa; Chordata; Mammalia; Primates; Hominidae.
CUGCCAGCCUGUUAGCCUUUAUCGUUCAGUCAUUUUAGACCUCAAAAAGAACAUUCCAUCAAGGGAUCAGGUUCUAUCAUCUCACUGGAAUGCAAUUUAAGACAUCAUCUCCAGAAAACUGUGCUAGUUGGCAUCCAGCAGUGCCCAAGUAUUAUUUAACCCACUAGAACCUGUGACUGCAUCAGCUUUAUAUCCUGGACCUCAGCCUGGAACAAAGGAGAGCUACACUUGGAUACUAAACACAAGUGGUCUGGAUAGAUUAUGCUGGGAAAAGAAGCCUGGAGCAGGCAGUACAGUGGGAGAACAAGACAGAAGUGCUUGCCUUGGUGAUCCAAAAAAGGCAGGAUCCGGCCGGGGGCAAGGUGAUUAUUCUGUCUGAUGAGGAGAAUAAGAGCCAGUUUGUGGUAUUGACAGAAGAAUGAAAGUAAAGUCUUGAAAGAUGGGAAGAUCAGGAGCAGUCUGGAGUCAUGGUAUAUGAAUGAACUAGUGAGAGUGGGCACAAAGUCUGAAGAUCUUUGUAGUGCAGCUAAUGUCUAAGGGAGAAUAUACCUACCCUAGAAGAGACAUUAAACAACCAGGAAGCUUACUGCAGGAAAGAAAUCCCUCAGAGUCCUGAAGAUACAGCUUUCAGAACUUAGGUGAAGCAAGAGGACUCAAGGUGUGCAAGAAUGGACAGUACAGAAUGCUCUGCUACACUGCUCAGAUUCCCCCUUCAGGAAGGAAGGACAAAUUCACUCAACUUCUGGGAGCAUUGAUGGUUGAGCUCUCAGCCAUCAGACCUUUUUGGAAGUUGCCCUCUUCUGAAAAGAGGCACAUUGCCCAAGAUCUUUCCUCCUCCAGAGCGCAGGCUGCACCUGAAGUCUGAUUGAUGUGGGGUUGUUAAUAUUCUACUUUAAAAUUUUAAAGUAAUUUUUAUGGAAAAUUUGAUCAUAAUUUUUAAUAACUAUAAUAGAAAAUUCUAAAAAUUCAAAAGUUCAACCAAUCUACAAAGGCCAAAAAUAUUUUCACAGGCCCCCAAAAGAUGAACUCCAAUCUGCUGCCCCUAAACGCAUUCUCCACUGUCUGGAAGAUGUGCAAAGGCAACGGCACAGCGUUCUCCAUCUCAAAUCCUUCAAAGUGCUGUCAGAAUAAAAGAAUCCCCACCAAAA